This 484-nucleotide ribosomal RNA is filed under the name uncultured bacterium. RNAcentral describes it as "partial 16S ribosomal RNA". It matches the Rfam family "Bacterial small subunit ribosomal RNA", at positions 30 to 507 of the family's 1533-position model. The record is from RNAcentral.
AUUGAACGCUGGCGGUAGGCCUAACACAUGCAAGUCGAGCGGCAGAACAGUACUAGCUCCCGGUUACAGCGGGCGACGGGCGGGCGGUGCAUAGGAACAUGGCAAUCUGCUGUGUCUUAGGUCAGAACGCAGGCGCUCUUACGCUAUUCGCGCAGAGGGCCUACGUGUGAGAUCAUCGGAUCUUACGCCCUUGCGUGAGCCUAUGACGGAUUAGCUAGUUGGUGGGGUGACGGCCUAACAAGGCGCCGAUCCGUAACUGGUCUGAGAGGAUGAUCAGGCACACUGGAACUGAUACACGGUCCAGACUCCUACGGGAGGCAGCAGUGGGGAAUAUUGGACAAUGGGCGAAAGCCUGAUCCAGCCAUGCCGCGUGUGUGAAGAAGGUCUUCGGAUUGUAAAGCACUUUUAGUUGGGAAGAAGGGCAGUAAGUUAAUACCUUGCUGUUUUGACGUUACCAACAGAAUAAGCACCGGCUAACUUCGUG